Molecule: RNA transcript, 2816 nt
Organism: Canis lupus familiaris (dog)
Lineage: Eukaryota; Metazoa; Chordata; Mammalia; Carnivora; Canidae
Gene name: translation initiation factor IF-2-like
Exons: 5
Source: RefSeq, a predicted model, not a curated record
AGGCCCGCGGGGACCCCGGCGCGGCCGGGACCUGGGCGGGCGGCGGCGGCUCCCUAGCCUCGGUCACCUCGGCUGCAAAUGGGACUAUUACCCAGGGGCCCGCGGGAGUCCCCGGCCCCCAGGCCGAGCGGGGCCGCCCCGCAACCCCGCCGGGCUGGCCCGGUUUCCCGGCGGAGCGCCCGUGCUCUCCGCGGCCCAGACCCGCCGCCCCUGCCUCGGGGGACCUGCCGGGUUAGCGCCCGCUGGCGGGGGAGGUCGGGGCGCUGGAGGUGCAGUGCUGGCGACAGUGCCAGUGAGCGGAAGGCGCUCGGAGAGGUUCACAGCGACGCUCCCUUCCCCCAGCCGUCCCCUACCCGGCCCUCUCACGCCAGGACAGCGCCACGGGCAGACGCUGUGUCUGUGGCAACCAAAUGGAGGGUGUGGCUGGUUUUCCUGAGGACCGGAGCUGGCCUGUGCUGGGAGCCGCCUGGGGAGCAGACCGGCCUGGCAGCCAAAGGCACCGCAGGCAGGGAGGUAACGAUGGACUCAACCUGCCCAGAUGAAUCUAGCCCAGUGACUCCCAAUCCAGCACCCCGGCCAAGUAAUUCCCACAUCCCUGAGGCCAGCCGGAAACACAGAAACUGACUUCCAGAUGAUGGACUUGAUCAUAGCACAGAGCCUCUUGUUCUCGUGGGUUCGCCCCUGAUGUCUCUAAUGCCCGGGACAGAGAUGCCCUCAAUAGCUACUAAUUUACUGAAUGAAAGAAUGGAUGAAUCCCAUCAAACAAGGAAUAAAGGGAUUCUCCAGAUCAGAAGACAGACAUGAGCCUUCAGCCUGAAAAGGCUUAAGGGGCCAACAAGACUGAAGCUUGGUUCCACCACUUUGGGUGCGGGGCCAUCUCCUUAAAGCACCACAUACACCCGCCUUGUUUUGUUUUGUUUUUUAAGAUUAUUUAUUUAUUUAUUCAUGAGAGACACAGAGAGAGAGAGGGGCAGAGACACAGGCAGAGGGAGAAGCAGGCUCGGUGCAGGGAGCCCGAUGUGGGACUCGAUCCCGGGUCUCCAGGAUCACUCCUUGGGCUGAACGCAGAGACGCCGCUGAGCCCUGGGCGUCCCUACACCCGCCUUGUGAUCCAGGAAUUUCACGCCUUGUGAUCCAGGAAUUUCACGGCGGGGCGCUCGGCUCAAAGAGAUGAAACUAGACAUCCACCAAAGACGUGUGUAAGGAUGUUCAUAACCGCCUUAUUGGUCGAAGCCCCUUCCUGGAGACCAGGCCAGCCGCCCCGCACAGCAGGAUGGACGGACAGACACCCGCGGCAGCGAGCGCCCUGGGCUGCUGUGCAGCAGUGGAGCAGGAAAUGCUCCACGGACCCCAACCCGGGGUACUAUUCAGGCCUUUCGACUUGCUAUUCCUUUUUCUUUUUUUUUUUAAGUUAUCACUACCCACGGUGUGGGGCUCAAACUCACGACCCCAAGAUCAAGAGUCGCACGCUCCACCGACAGAGCCAGCCAGCACCCCAAUCUCUGUAUUUCUGACGCUUUGUCACCCCCGAGCCUGAAGAGACCGCCCGUCGCAGGGCUAACCAGUCCCUAGCGACAGUAAGUGCGGAGCCCGGGAGCCUUCCUGCGCACCCGCCAACCCACAGCCAACCCACAGCCGCGGCUCACAGGGGGGCCAGGGUCCCCCUCAGCCAGGGAGCCGAGGACUGGGGACAGGCAGCUGAAAGAGAUGAUCCGUGGCCGGUCCUAACCUGUCUACCCUGCCCAGGCUUUCCCCGCCUCCCCUCCUCACCGCCCCCCCAACCUUCCGCCUGGCCAGUGGGGUGACAGGUGACAGCAGGCGUGUCCCCCCUGCUCCUGGGAACUGUACGGAGCAAAGCAUCUCGCCCGUGGCAGCCGCCUCCCGAGCUGCGGCCUCACCCACCCGAACAGUAUCACACCAACAUCGUAAGCAAGGAGCCCAGGGAGCAGGAGGCCGCCUGCCCGGGCCCACCUACUGCCCGCACCAGCCGCGAGCGGCCCGGGCCACCUGCUGGGGCCGCUGCCCCCACCGCCACCCCAUGGUCACAGAUCCCACCCUAGAAUUCGGAGGCCGGGUCCUCCCUAGGUUCUGACCAGAGCCCUUACGUGCCAAGAUUCCAGGACGACGCUCCGGGCACCCCUUUUCUUCAGGUCCUAGUUUAGGAGGGGAUCCUCCGAGGGACAGGCUACGUGUGGCCUCAACAGCCUUGCCUCCGCCCGCCAGCCUUGCAGACAAGACCCGACCCUCCUCCAGGAGCACAGCUGGGACGUCACGUGGAUGGCGGCUCCCUCUGGCGAGAGUCACCCGACACACUUUGCCCCAGGGCUUACGAAUCCAGCACCUGGCGGCGGGCUCCGCACGGACAAAUUCUGCCGAAAUCCAACUCAGGCUGCUCCUUCCAGUCGGCCCAGCCUCCCCAGCCUCCAGCCUCGGAGGCCCCCCUCUAAUGAAAGGCUCUAAGAUCCGAGCCAAUGAAGUCAGCAGGCCCUCCCUGCAGGGCCUCACUCCUUCACCCUGGAGGCCGGCAACCUCCUCUCCUGCCCCCACCCCCACCCCACCCCCACCCCUGGGCUCUCCAACCAUCCAGGAUGGCCAUGAGCUGCCCAAGGGGCAAGAAACUGCCUCUUUUGGCCUCUGAUGCAAGAAACUGCCUCUCUUUGGCCUCAUGCUAAACACCAUUAAAACCAAAAUUGCUGGGCAGCCCGGUUGGCUCAGCGGUUUAACGCCGCCUUCAGCCCAGGGCCGGAUUCUGGAGACUCGGGAUCGAGUCCCACGUAGGGCUCCCUGCAUGGAGGUGUUUCUCCCUCUCUCUCUCU